RNAcentral lists this ribosomal RNA (289 nucleotides) under uncultured cyanobacterium. RNAcentral's name for it is "partial 16S ribosomal RNA". It matches the Rfam family "Bacterial small subunit ribosomal RNA", at positions 28 to 342 of the family's 1533-position model. The record is from RNAcentral. Lineage: Bacteria; Bacillati; Cyanobacteriota.
GAUGAACGCUGGCGGUCUGCUUAACACAUGCAAGUCGAACGGACCCUUCGGGGUUAGUGGGCGGACGGGUGAGUAACGCGUGAGAAUCUGCCUUCAGGUCUGGGACAACAGAAGGAAACUUCUGCUAAGUCCGGGAUGAGCCUUUUGGUAAAAGAUAAAUUGCCUGGAGAUGAAGCGUCGCGUCUGAUUAGCUAGUUGGUGUGGUAAAAGCAUACCAAGGCAACGAUCAGUAGCUGGUCUGAGAGGAUGAGCAGCCACACUGGGACUGAGACACGGCCCAGACUCCUAC